RNAcentral lists this ribosomal RNA (403 nucleotides) under uncultured Rhodoferax sp. RNAcentral's name for it is "bacterial SSU rRNA". It matches the Rfam family "Bacterial small subunit ribosomal RNA", at positions 980 to 1382 of the family's 1533-position model. The record is from RNAcentral. Lineage: Bacteria; Pseudomonadati; Pseudomonadota; Betaproteobacteria; Burkholderiales; Comamonadaceae.
UUUGACAUGUACGGAAGCCUUUAGAGAUAGAGGCGUGCUCGAAAGAGAGCCGUAACACAGGGUGCUGCAUGGCCGUCGUCAGCUCGUGUCGUGAGAUGUUGGGUUAAGUCCCGCAACGAGCGCAACCCUUGUCAUUAGUUGCUACACUCAGUUGGGCACUCUAAUGAGACUGCCGGUGACAAGCCGGAGGAAGGUGGGGAUGACGUCAAGUCCUCAUGGCCCUUAUAGGUGGGGCUACACACGUCAUACAAUGGCUGGUACAAAGGGUUGCCAACCCGCGAGGGGGAGCUAAUCCCAUAAAGCCAGUCGUAGUCCGGAUCGUAGUCUGCAACUCGACUACGUGAAGUCGGAAUCGCUAGUAAUCGUGGAUCAGAAUGUCACGGUGAAUACGUUCCCGGGUCUU